Molecule: ribosomal RNA, 253 nt
Filed under: uncultured bacterium
Lineage: Bacteria
Description: partial 16S ribosomal RNA
Rfam family: Bacterial small subunit ribosomal RNA
Source: RNAcentral
UACGAAGGGGACUAGCGUUGUUCGGAAUCACUGGGCGUAAAGCGCACGUAGGCGGAUUCGUAAGUCAGGGGUGAAAUCCCGGGGCUCAACCUCGGAACUGCCUUUGAUACUGCGGGUCUUGAGUCCGAUAGAGGUGGGUGGAAUUCCUAGUGUAGAGGUGAAAUUCGUAGAUAUUAGGAAGAACACCGGUGGCGAAGGCGGCCCACUGGAUCGGUACUGACGCUGAGGUGCGAAAGCGUGGGGAGCGAACAGG